UUAGUAGUACUACUAGUACUACUAGUACUACUAUUAGUAGUACUACUAGUACUACUACUAGUAGUAUGUAUGUACUACUAGUACUAGUAAUACUACUAGUACUAGUACUAGUAAUACUACUAGUAAUA
Molecule: small nucleolar RNA, 128 nt
Filed under: Amborella trichopoda
Lineage: Eukaryota; Viridiplantae; Streptophyta; Magnoliopsida; Amborellales; Amborellaceae
Description: Small nucleolar RNA SNORA72
Rfam family: Small nucleolar RNA SNORA72
About the family: U72 is a member of the H/ACA class of snoRNAs. The snoRNA gene is located in intron 4 of the ribosomal L30 protein gene in human, mouse and chicken.
Source: Rfam by way of RNAcentral